CUUGGUCAUUUAGAGGAAGUAAAAGUCGUAACAAGGUCUCCGUUGGUGAACCAGCGGAGGGAUCAUUACAGGACUCGCAAGACUCCUUACACCCUGUGAACUUUACUGUAUACGCGUUGCUUCGGCGGGUCCGCCCGCCGGCAGCAUACCACAUUCUGUUUCUCUGCGUUGGCAUCUCGAGAAAAAAGCAAAUAAGUUAAAACUUUCAACAACGGAUCUCUUGGUUCUGGCAUCGAUGAAGAACGCAGCGAAAUGCGAUAAGUAAUGCGAAUUGCAGAAUUCCGUGAGUCAUCGAAUCUUUGAACGCACAUUGCGCCCGCCAGUAUUCUGGCGGGCAUGCCUGUUCGAGCGUCAUUGCAACCCCUCAGGCCCUGCCUGGCGUUGGAGGACUGCGCUACGCAGCCUCCCAAAGCAAGCGGCGGCGGCGCCCCAAAUCCGAACGCAGUAGUUACCUCUCGUUCUGGGUGCUGGGACGGCGUCCGGCCGGAAAACCCCCAUCUAUAUCGUGGUUGACCUCGAAUCAGGUAGGAAUACCCGCUGAACUUAAGCAUAUCAAUAAGCGGAGGA
This 567-nucleotide ribosomal RNA is filed under the name uncultured Phialocephala. RNAcentral's name for it is "eukaryotic LSU rRNA". The stretch from base 201 to 354 matches the Rfam family "5.8S ribosomal RNA". The record is from RNAcentral. Lineage: Eukaryota; Fungi; Ascomycota; Leotiomycetes; Helotiales.